RNAcentral lists this long non-coding RNA (893 nucleotides) under Homo sapiens (human). RNAcentral's name for it is "non-protein coding lnc-CDH10-8:1". Lineage: Eukaryota; Metazoa; Chordata; Mammalia; Primates; Hominidae. The record is from RNAcentral.
UAACUAUUUGAUGAUAGAUGAGAUAAGUAAAUAUAUAGAUUACCAGAUGAAAUAGAAAUAGAUUCACAGAGGAUCCAGUUAAUAUAAUAAUACUUUAAAAGACACAAAUGUUUUGUCUUGGCUAAAGUUUAAUAACCAGCUGGUCUUAAUUUCUACUUACCAUUAGAGCACCCAGUGAUCAUAUUGUGGGGUUUUUAUUGUUGUUGUUUGUUCUGGAUUUUCACCCAUCAGAUUUGACCAAUUUUACCUGACUUGGUCAAAUCUGUGUGAGAAUUCCAAGUUCUGGGUAACAAAGCCUCUCUAAUUUGGACAAAAAAAACAUGCACUUAGUUUACGAGUUUUCGUCUUGUUUUUUUAAAAAACAAAAGUUCUUUCAUUUACUUUUCUUCCACCCUGUACCUCCUGCCCCCUUUGCCAUCUGUAGUACCAAAAAAUCUAAAGGAGUCAUAUAAUGACUUGAACCACUUUAAAGAAUUCACCUGUUUUGGGGUAUUCUGUUUUCUUGGUGGAGUUUCAAGAGUCAUGGGCAGCUUCUUCUUAGGUCUAAAGCUCUGUUUUCCUGUAUUGCAUGACUUGGCCUCUUUGGCUUUGGGGAUCACAGAGAUUACCUUGUACUGUGAGAGGAUUUGACCUUGGCAUGUGUAAUGAUGCCUCCUGUUCUAAAAAUAGUUACUAUAUGCCUCCUGCUUUCAAUAGGCCCACCAUUUGAGGCCUUGAUUAUACAAUAAUGAUUAAAAUAAGUGGUUGAACUGUAAGGCCGUACCAAUACUGGUUAGUGUGAGAGCAUGCAAUAUCUCAUUGCCACAGAAAGAUGGUUCAUACAUUAAAGUUAUCUUAAUAAAGAUUAAUACAUUCUAUUUAUAUGUUCACAUGUCACUGUGACUAGUAUUACU